UCCAGACUCCUACGGGAGGCAGCAGUGGGGGAUAUUGCACAAUGGGGGGAACCCUGAUGCAGCGACGCCGCGUGAGUGAAGAAGUAAUUCGUUAUGUAAAGCUCUCUCAGCAGGGAAGAAGAAAGACGGUACCUGACUAAGAAGCCCCGGCUAACUACGUGCCAGCAGCCGCGGUAAUACGUAGGGGGCAAGCGUUAUCCGGAUUUACUGGGUGUAAAGGGAGCGUAGACGGCAGCGCAAGUCUGAAGUGAAAUGCCGGGGCUUAACCCCGGAACUGCGUUGGAAACUGUGCAGCUAGAGUGCAGGAGAGGGAAGUGGAAUUCCUAGUGUAGCGGUGAAAUGCGUAGAUAUUAGGAGGAGCACCGGUGGCGAAGGCGGCUUACUGGACUGUAACUGACGUUGAGGCUCGAAAGCGUGGGGAGCAAACAGGAUUAGAUACCCCAGUAGG
This 448-nucleotide ribosomal RNA is filed under the name uncultured bacterium. RNAcentral describes it as "bacterial SSU rRNA". It matches the Rfam family "Bacterial small subunit ribosomal RNA", at positions 330 to 794 of the family's 1533-position model. The record is from RNAcentral.